Molecule: long non-coding RNA, 322 nt
Filed under: Vitis vinifera (wine grape)
Lineage: Eukaryota; Viridiplantae; Streptophyta; Magnoliopsida; Vitales; Vitaceae
Description: long non-coding RNA (VVIN_LNC003809)
Source: RNAcentral
AUGAGGCUUGGCGAUUACUAACUGACAUUUAAUAGGGUUAACACGGCUUGAAAGCAAGAACUGUUCACAUCAUAAAGUUUAGAGAAGCCCGAACUGCCGUUUUUGAACGGUUUGGUUUGGUGAAUCAGUUCUCUUCACGGAACUGAAAGCUCGAGUCCCUUCCUUCUUCGCUUAUUGAAAGCACACAUCUCGUUGCUAAGAGGUAAGUGUCCCGUAGGUCAUUCGACUCCACUAUAAUACAAUAAAAUAGAGGACCGACCUUGGUUGGCCCACUGAUUGGGUGCAAGCGGCGCUCCUUCCUUUCUUAAUCUUUAUCGGUGAG